AAAAAACACAAAAAACAGAGCCUUUAUAAGUUAGAAGAAGUACGCCAAAAAUUGAAAAUGAACGUACCCGCCAAACGGAUGUCUGGAAAAGGAUGCAUUUUGGAGUUCUUUUUAUGAGUAGACAUGUGGCGAAAGAAGCAUGUGCGAAGGAAUAGCUAGCCAGACGUACGUAUCGGCAUACGUCAGCGAUGCCACAACUACAAGGAUCAGACGACAGAGCACCUCGAUGGAUUAUCCCGCGGCGGCAUGCACCGGCAUGCUGCAUGCUUCCACCACGUCAGCUGCUGACGCUGCACAUGCUCCAUGCAUGCGUCCACGUAAAACCGUAUCUAGGCAUCACACGUACACAUGCUAUAUAUGUAUGCUACUCCGGUAGCUAGCUUGCAUGUGCAUGCAUACACAUGCAUGCCCCUCCGAAGAGUUGGAAGAGUACUCUAUCACAAAGAGUUGGAAAGUAACAUAUCACUUGGCUACGGGAUUUAUUUCCGACAAAUUUGACCAGUUUGUAGGACUAGUUGCAUGUACUCCGUAUCAUGUAUGGUCUCGUUCCGUCGUUAUUAUCAUCACUUUUGCCUCUUGAGUCAGAGAUUGCCUCUAACCUUAUGUAUUUGUAGGGAUGUACCACUCUACACUGGAUAUCGUUUUGAAAUUUUGUAAGUUCAAGCUGUAGAACCUCCGUGCCAAGUACGAUUGAGAUGAGCUACACUGCUAGAGGACCAGAAAAAUGAAGCGUCAAUUUCAAAGAUACAUCUCAUAACAUGGCGUUCUUAGGGGCACAUUUAGCAAUAGUGCCGAAGCUAACACGUGGAUUAAUUUAGUCGCAAAGAAAAGACAAAUUCAUCAAAAAGUACUGGCUAAAGGCCUAUGGGGGCUACUCCUAAUUAAGGACACCGCAGCCUAAAAUAAAAAAUAAAAAAUUUAACGACGCCGCAUGCAUAUCUGUGGCCUGGAAUACACUUACCACGAAAAUCCAUGUGAUGACCAUGUGAAAGACAAACAUAACAAUGGGAAAUACGAAUGGCUGAAAUUCAUGAUCGAUCAAGCUGG
This 1047-nucleotide long non-coding RNA is filed under the name Brachypodium distachyon (stiff brome). RNAcentral's name for it is "long non-coding RNA (BDIS_LNC003902)". Lineage: Eukaryota; Viridiplantae; Streptophyta; Magnoliopsida; Poales; Poaceae. The record is from RNAcentral.